This 1248-nucleotide long non-coding RNA is filed under the name Brassica napus (rape). RNAcentral's name for it is "long non-coding RNA (BNAP_LNC003945)". Lineage: Eukaryota; Viridiplantae; Streptophyta; Magnoliopsida; Brassicales; Brassicaceae. The record is from RNAcentral.
CUUUGUGUGUGUAUUUGUGGAAUCAUUUGUUGAAUAAUAUGAUAAUGGAUUUGUCUAAAGUUUGUUUCAGGAAGCUCUUAGGUAAUCAUUUUCUUAACCCCUUUUGAUUCUUCUAAGUUGCACGCUGGAGUAGAUUUUUUUGUUGCUUGAGGUCCUGAUACUGUGUUAUGAAUAUCGUAGUCCAGUUAGGCUAAACUACAGUAUUAAUAAGUGCCGAGUACCAAAUUGCUAUACAUAUGCAGCUUGGAUAGUGUUCUCUAUGUUGUGUGAAAGAUAAAUAGUAGCACAGUUUUGCAUGUUUAUGUUAGUAGAUUCUUGGUUUUCUUCUAAUUUGAAUAAGGGGCUACUUCCAAAUGUUUGUGAGCAUUAAAAAAGCUCAUGGACUUAAUCCUUUUUUUUGUGUCUGGUUUUUAGCAUCUAGUAUUCAUCUGUUAGCAGGUUUCCUUUUGAUGUUAGAGACUUGCCGUCUAAUUUCUUGUUACUUUAUAAUUGGUCAGGGGUAACUUGAGCCUUAUGAUCCUGCCAACAUCAGACUUGCGACUCUCAUUUAUUGGAGACAAUGGCCACUCUGAGCAACUCUUUACUUAUGCCAACAAAUCUCAUUGCUCUGCGGUGUCAAUUGAGGAGAUAGCUGCGGACAGCUCUGGUAGAUCGUUUGUUAUAAGGAUCGCAAAUGGCAAUGCUUUUUACUAUUGGUGCUCAGAGAAGUCGAAACUUCUAGGAAUUGAACUGCGUAGAAAGGUUUGUGAGACAGAGAUGUUCUUAUUUUUUUUCCGAAUACUGAGUAUUUGCAUCUAAAUUUUCUCAUUAUCUGUUUUUAUUUUCUUUCUGAUUCUUCUCUGUAGAUGGAUGAAUUGAUCAAGAAGAAGCCAUCAGUCUCAGAACUAACUGGAAUUGAAGAAUCGCGUCUUGGCUCUGUUGCUUCCCAUCUCCGUUUGUAUCUCAUGGGCUCGGUGGUGCCUAACAACAAAGGUUGUCUGGUCCCAACUCCUCCUGAUACAUCAUCGUCUUCAGGCUCUUCUGAAGCAACCGCUACCUCCUCCGCUAGUGCAUCGUCGAUAUCUCUUCAGGCACGCCACUCUGGAACGCAACUGUCAAAGUCUCAAGGAAGAUCAAGUUCCUUCGAAGAAAACACACUGAGAAACCCUUCUCUACAUAUCUCAUCCAGAGAUGAAUCAAUGCAAUGCAGCGAAGGCUAUUUCUCGAUCUUUGAUAGUUUACCCAUCACCUCCGUCCCCACAAGUGAAG